Long non-coding RNA from Gracilinanus agilis (Agile Gracile Mouse Opossum), 254 nucleotides. RefSeq lists it as uncharacterized. NCBI's taxonomy places the organism in Eukaryota, Metazoa, Chordata, Mammalia, Didelphimorphia, Didelphidae. The transcript is spliced from 3 exons. The record is from RefSeq and is a predicted model, not a curated record.
CCCUGGGCCACCUGGUCCCCCUGGACCUGCUGGACCUAUUGGACCUCUGGGUAACCCAGGAGAGCCAGGGCCCAUGGGACCACCUGGCAGAGCAGGAGAGCCAGGGAAGCCAGGCAAGGAUGGAAAGGGCUUACCUGGAUCUCCUGGACCAAAGGUGAGAGCUUGUUCUAGGAAGCAAUGAAACAGUAUGAUAACUUGUGGUUGGGAGGGAGAGAUAAAAGGAGGAUGAGGGAGAGAGAAAGACAGAAAGAGAU